Molecule: long non-coding RNA, 229 nt
Filed under: Mytilus galloprovincialis (Mediterranean mussel)
Lineage: Eukaryota; Metazoa; Mollusca; Bivalvia; Mytilida; Mytilidae
Source: RNAcentral
GAAACAUUUCUGGAGCAAUACAUCGUAAUGGACAUAAAGCAGGUGUUAUAUUGCACACGGCAUGUGUACGGUACGAAACAUUUCUGGAGCAAUACAUCGUAAUGGAAAUAAAGUAGGUGUUAUAUUGCACACGGCAUGUGUAAGGUACGAAACAUUUCUGGGACAAUACAUCGUAAUGGAAAUAAAGCAAGUGUUAUAUUGAACACAACAUGGUAAGGUACGAAACAUU